Molecule: long non-coding RNA, 419 nt
Organism: Penaeus chinensis
Lineage: Eukaryota; Metazoa; Arthropoda; Malacostraca; Decapoda; Penaeidae
Exons: 2
Source: RefSeq, a predicted model, not a curated record
CCACUAUAUAAGCCGCGCUGUCCUGCUCGCAGGGUUGUGUUAUCCUCAGCCUUCCUGCCUUGCGCUCCUCAGGCCCUCAAGUCGACAUGAAGCUGUUCUCCCUCGCCGUGGCUCUGGUGGCGAUGGUGUGCCUCCUGGUGUCUCCCAGCCGGGCCACUCCUGAAGCAGACCCUGUGGCCGGCCCCUUCCCCCGUGGCCGACCCUGACCCCCUCUUCUUCUGGAAGUUCAGGCCCAGGUACUACCGGGGCUACGGGGGCUACAGGGGCUACGGCGGCUACGGAGGCUACUCUAGGGGCUACUACAAGAAGGGAUACUGGUAAAGAAGAUUUGUGGGAGAAGCUUCGUUGGAGUGAAGCUUUGUGGAAUGAUUCUCUAUGGCGAUGAACAUGAAUAAAAGUAAUUCGUAGUAGUUAAUAAA